UGUCUGGCUCAGUUGGUAAAGAAUCUGCCUGCAAUGCAGGAGACCCUGGGUUCGAUUCCUGGGUCA
This 66-nucleotide transfer RNA is filed under the name Ovis aries (sheep). It matches the Rfam family "tRNA". Rfam says of the family: Transfer RNA (tRNA) molecules are approximately 80 nucleotides in length. Lineage: Eukaryota; Metazoa; Chordata; Mammalia; Artiodactyla; Bovidae. The record is from Rfam by way of RNAcentral.